UUUUUAGUAAAAGGAAUUCCAUCAGUUCAUUUGGAGUCUGAUCAAUGCUGGGCGAACAGAUUAAAUUCUCUUUAGAGUAGCAAAUCUUAGGACUAUAAGCUGAAGUAGAACUAGAAAGUCCAGCCAUACCUAAGUCCAAGCUAGCCACUCUGGUCCUUUUCUCUGUUGUAUUCCAUUAAAGACCCUGAUAUCUGGGACUAGAGUUCCUGAGCACUCUAUACCCAUGACCUGGUCUGGAAGCAGCUCUUCUUAGCUGUCCUAUCAUGCCACAGUAACUCCGGGUCUCUGAGACAAGUGUCCUGAAACUCUUGAGUUCUCACAUGCCCUUUCAUCUUUCCCUCUUUUUUGAUCAAUCCAACCAAUUCAUGGCUUCCUGUUGAAUGUUAUUUUAUAAUAAUAUGGUUUAUGUUAUUAACACUCUUUAAUGUUAUUCAAGCCCAUCUUCUAUCAUGUCAUUGCUUAAAAAGCCUCAACAGUUCCUUAGGGUCAAGCCCACUGUGUGUGAGCUUCUUAACUGGGCAUUUAGAAUCCUCUCCAAUAUCCUCCACUACCUAUGAUUUAUAUUUUAGCCAAAAUGGACCCUUUAUAAUCUUGAACUUCAUUGCAUGUCUGCACUUCUAUACCAGUGCUGAAUCCCAAACUGAAAUCUGGUUCAUAUUUCAUGAAACAGCUGGUUUUUACACCCACAUCUUGAAAUCUCUUUCUAUUCCCUCACCUAGAUACAAACUCUUCAAGGGGCCAGUAGAGUAUAGUGGCUAAAAUCUUGGAUUCUAAAACCCAGCUGUCAAGGUUCAAAUCCCAGCCACACCAUGUGCUGACUGUGAGAUCAUAUACAAGUCUCUUUUCACUUCACAUCUGUUUCCUUAUCUGGAAAAUCAAGAAUAUUAAUCAGAUAUUAAAUGAGAUAAUAUACAUUUAAUCUAGUCCGUGGAACCCUGUAAGCAUGCAGCAACUGCGAGCUAUUAUGGCAGAUGCUGUUGCUAGCCCACCCACAUCCUCUUGGUAUUUGUCUCUACAUUCUCAACCUGUUUAUAGAAAACAUUCGUGACUCUCUGUAGUCAAGAUAGCAUGCUCAGCUCUCAUACAGGGCAGAGCAGAAGUUUCUGAGAUGUAAUCAGUCUCCCAAGAAGCGACACUCAGACAAUGACCAAUGGAGAGUCAGUGGAUGAAUACCCCUUGUUAGGAAUAACUCUGAACCCUAUUCUAGAGUGUGGACAGCAUAGAAUCUCUUAUUGUCUCCCAGACUUCCCCAGCAGGCUGUAACAUCAGUUGCCCGCAAUGGUAAUUGGCUUGGCAGAUACCUUCUGUCAGCUCCUUUGCCUUCCCUAACUUACUCUCCACUCUCUUUUAUGUAUUUCCUGGGAUCGUUUCCCAAAACUACUUGGAUUCUUGUCUCCGGGUUGGCUUCUGGAGGACUCUAAAACCAUAACUGCUCUUAUCACUACAGCUGACUUCUUUGAAACCAUGAAAAUACUGCUUUAUUUGCAUUCGUCUUCUGCUAGUUAGAGUCUACCUUCAUAAAACCUAAAAUCCAACAAAAAAUUAAGACCAAAAUACAAAUAUUUCUCACAGUACCUCUCACAUAGAAGUUACUCAAUCUGUAUUUAGAGAGCAAAGAAUAAUGGGAGAUCAAAAGAUUACUCUGUGACUAUAAAAAUAGAGCGAGGACUAUUGAUUGGUUACUAAGAAUAUUUUACAAACUUUUAUGGUUUGACACACCCUUUUAAUGGUGGUAUGUCUACCUAAUAUAUCUGCACCUUCCCAAAAUCCCCUCCCCUCGAUGUCAGCAUCAGGACUCCCCUCCUCCUCUAGCUAGAUUUGAGAGACACUUGCCAUUAUCUCAUCAUUAUUUUAUCAUGUUAAUGUACUUGUGUAACCUUUUAUAUUUUCUAAAUAUGAAAAAUAUUUUACAGAGAUUACAUUUGACGCAGCUGCUUCCUGAAGACCUAGAGAUCACUUUAAUCUUACAAGCACAUUCUUCAGAUUGUCGUGUGGGUGGGUAACUUCCGCCAGACUUUUCUGGAGAUGGCUAAUCCAGCCGUGGGAUGUGGUUUCUUCUAACAGCCAGUCAGGAAAAUCUUGCUUCUCAAACUCCUGUCUUGACCCCUUCCUGAACUUUGCCUCCUGGAUCUUGAGGUCUGCCUUCUGUGGAAGAGAAAUACUAGAAUCAAUGAACUGUGAACUAGAGCCCUGGGAUUAUCAACAGCUGAAAUUUUGAGAGCCACCUUAUAGAAAGCCUAACAGCAAAGACUGGAGAGAGGCUUCCAGCCAACAGCCAGCAAGGAAUUGAAGCCCUCAGUCCAAUAGCAGUGAGGAAUUGAAUCCUGCCAACAGCCUCGUGGAUGGGUUGCUUGCUGCCUGAAUCUAACUCCUGCUACUACUGCAAAUACCACUGCCAUGAAUAUCCUCAGCAAGACCCCCUUCCAGACCUGCAUGAACAACCGACUGCUUCAUGCUGGGCUUCAGACAUGAGAGGCUAGGAGUAGGAGGCAUGCCUUGUUCAAAGUAACUCCUCCAGGGGACAGCAGCAUCUCUUCUGACUCUUUGCUUCCAUGUCUUGAGGAAGCAGCCUCCUGCCUAUGGCCAUCUGAGGAAGCCAUCUUGGAAGCAGACCCCUCAGCCCCAGUCAAGCCUUCAGAUGACUGAAGUCUCAGCUGACAUCUUGACUUUAAUUUAAAAAAAAAAAAAAAAAAAAAAAAACAAACAAACAAACAAAAAAAAACUCCAAGCCAGAACUACCCCCAACUGGAAUUUGAGAGCUGCUUUCAAAUCCUGACCCAUAGAAACUUAGAUAAUAAAUGUUUGUUGUUUUAAGCCACUCAUUUUUAGAGAAAUUUGUUAUGCAGCAAUAGCUAGCUAAUACAGAGAAUUAACCAGCCUCUCUUAAAUUACCACCACAAAAUCAACUACCUAUUUUAUUAAAAGGUAAAACCAGCUGCUGAAGAACGUUUUUCCUCUCAAGGCUUUGGCACUUAAGAUUCAACAGUAAGAAGGAUUGAAGAGUGAAGGCUUCCUGGCUACCCCGUGGCAUCCUGUGUUUGGUUUGAAGCGUGAUAAGCCUGGGUUGCUCUUCCAGUCCACCUUGUAAGAGACUGAUGUGGAAAAAUGUGUCUCUUCUCAAGGGCUAACUCUGGAAGCUUGGGAAAAUAUUCUAGAUUUGGAUCACAUUAAAAUGGGUAUUAGACCUAGGUUCUAGUUCCAUCUCUAAGAUCUGGAUAUGUCAAAAUCCUUUUCCCUUUGUAGGUUUUAAGUUUGGCCUCUUUAAAUAAAGAAACAAUCACCCAUGCUUUGUCUUUUAACUUGCUACUUAAAACAAGGAGCUGAAGACACUGGCCAUCAUCAAAUAACUAAUGGACAAUUCCCACUGCCUCGCUGAAAUUUGCAGUCUGACUCUCAUCAUCUCUUGCCUUUUUUUUUUUGCUUUGGCUGUGUUUGUGAAACUGCCUUUGCAAAGAUUAUGAGAGGGAGUCUAGCAUGGCCAACUCCAUCUUGCUUCUAGCCUCAUGGGCUGGCUUCCCUUGCUCAUUCCUAGCCAUAGGCCAAGCUAACCAUGGGAGGAAUUUAGUUUAUAGUUUAACUUUGAAGCAAAGAUGAUACUAUUUUAUCCCUAAAACAGAUCCCUUCCUUGUUCGGGUUCUGAAACCACCUUUGUAAGACUAAUGAAAAGCCACAAGAUUAGGAUUAUGGAAAGGGCCUGAAUCCUGCUCAAAUGGAGGCAUCAUUUCUAUACUUCCUUACUGCUCAGGAGUUAUGUGGCCAAAUGGCACAGAGUUGUGACUUCCUCAAUUGCUCCUGUGGAUAACAUCACUAUUGUAGAACCUAAGGCUGGUCUUUUGAGCUGUUUUUCAGAUUUUUGCAUUCUGGCAACUGAGUGAUGCCUCCCAGACUCAUGACUCAACCAGUCCUAUGGCCUCCACCCAGAGGUGGACUCAGCACAUGAGGACUGUUUUCCUCGCACUUCUGUGAUCUCAUCCCUAACCAAUCAGUAGCACUCAUUCCCUAGCUCCCUGCCCACCAAAUUUUCCAUAAAAAGCCUAGCCUCUGAGCUCUUGGGGAGAUUGACUUGAGUGAUAAACUCCAGUUCUUCUCUAUGGCCAGUCUUGUAUUAAUUAAACUCUUUCUUUACUGCAAUACCAUGGUCUCAGUGAAUGGUUUGAUCUGUGCAGCAUGCAGGAAAAACUCAUCAAUCAAUUACAUUUGUCACUAAGUCCUCUCAGCUGGAGACUCAUCAAUGAUAUUAAAUUUUAAAAAACUACCAAGCGAAUACAAUUCAAGUGGAAGCUCACCUGUGGAGCAAUGGGAACACACUGUUAUUCAACAGGGCUGAAGUCUGAAUCAGAUGCCCGGAGGAGAUACGUUGUCUUGGCUUUGCCACUCACUGGCUAUGUGAUCUUGGAUAAGUCACCUCACUCCUCUUGAUCUCAGCUCCCUCUUCUUUAAGAAAAAAAAUAAAGUAGUGAUAAUUUUAAUAGUCAACAUUUACUGACUGUAAUCUAAAAAUGGGGUUAAGUAAAUUGCAUGCAUUACCUUUAACACAACUGUGACAUAGGAAUUAUUGUAACAUAAACAGCCUCAUAAAAUCUGUAUUUUACAGAUAAGGAAACUAAGUUUCAGAGAUAAUAAGUGGUGGAGCCGGAUUCAAACCCAAGUUCUUAACCACCAAGAUCAUAGCAAUUAUAAAUCAGUUUCAGCUUGAAUUUGAACUCUCUGGAUGCUAGGAUUCAGAAGAGAUGUGACAUCUGUGAAGAACUGAUGGUGUCAGUCUGCCAGGCAUUUAGUUAUAUGAGGAACCCAGAGUGAGGUUAGCAUCAGGGAGUCACUGGUUCUAGAGCAGAGGGAAGAUUCUAUUUACUUUUGAUGUUGGUCACUACAAAGUUAUGGUGCCAGCAAGAGAGCAAAGUAAAAACAAAAAGGCCUGGGAUAUUAGUAUGCAGGUCAUCUGGAGAAUUGGUGCCAGCAUCUUCUGUAGUAAUUGAUGAGGAUGCCCCAUCAUUGACAUCAACGACGUUGACAGUGGACACUGGCAGGAAUUGAAUGCCUUGAGCAGACACCAGUCACAGUGUCGGCAGUGGCUGGGAGUCAUUACCCCCAAUGUGCCACGGCCGGAGGGGAUAAAUGCAGCAGAUGUCACAUGGCAGCCCAGAGGAGCAGUUUGCAGAGCACAUGUGAGAAACCCUCUGAGGAUACCCAGGAGACACCACGGGAGACAGAAACCCAGGACUGUACUUGAAUGAAAUUCGAGAGAGAGCUUACAUUUCUAUAGAACAGAAGUGUAUCUUCCUGAAGAAAUUUUGUGUUUGCUCUUGAGAUCCUAUUUUUACCCUCAGACUUGGGUGGUCUGAAAAAUGUAGGUUACUGAUGAGAUGGAAGGGUGCGACUCCACAGUGCUCUGCAAGGGUCUUUCACUUUGCCUCAUGAUUCCCAGAAUUACAGCAUUUCAAACUCCAUUGACAGAAACACCAGGGCUGGCAAAUGCAGUGCAGAUCCAUUGGUGAGUCUUGAAAGGAUUUCUGAUGCUAAUUUGUUGCCCUUGGGACUAACUGGAGUUAAAUUAUGAUUAUUCCUAAUGUGGUGGUCCCAGUACUGUUUGGCGAGGAACGUGAAUACUUUCUCUAACUGGCCACAGUGCUCUCCAGGGAAAGAUGUUUGAUCUGGGGCACUGAGGCAUUCUUCCCUGCUGAUUGUUGGGAAAUGCAGCUCCUCUGUGGAAAGGGGCUUUGCUGCCAUCGUAUUGAG
This 5736-nucleotide long non-coding RNA is filed under the name Homo sapiens (human). Its description in RNAcentral is "HSALNT0047132". The record is from RNAcentral. Lineage: Eukaryota; Metazoa; Chordata; Mammalia; Primates; Hominidae.